UACGGAGGGUGCAAGCGUUGUCCGGAUUUAUUGGGUUUAAAGGGUGCGUAGGCGGUUCGUUAAGUCCGGGGUGAAAGCCCACUGCUCAACAGUGGAACUGCCCUGGAAACUGGCGGACUUGAGUACAGACGAGGGUGGCGGAAUGGAUGGUGUAGCGGUGAAAUGCAUAGAUACCAUCCAGAACCCCGAUUGCGAAGGCAGCUGCCUAGACUGUAACUGACGCUGAGGCACGAAAGCGUGGGGAGCGAACAGG
RNAcentral lists this ribosomal RNA (253 nucleotides) under uncultured bacterium. RNAcentral's name for it is "partial 16S ribosomal RNA". It matches the Rfam family "Bacterial small subunit ribosomal RNA", at positions 524 to 776 of the family's 1533-position model. The record is from RNAcentral.